GCGCUCAUUUUGUCAGCACAUAUACUAAAAUUAGAAUGAUACAGUGCAGAUUAGCAUGACCUCUGCACAAGGAUGACAUGAAAAUGUGUGAAGCAGUCCAUAUUUUG
Pteropus vampyrus (large flying fox) is the source of this 107-nucleotide small nuclear RNA. Lineage: Eukaryota; Metazoa; Chordata; Mammalia; Chiroptera; Pteropodidae. The record is from Ensembl.